AGCGAACGCUGGCGGCAGGCUUAACACAUGCAAGUCGAGCGGACCUUUCGGGGUCAGCGGCGGACGGGUGAGUAACGCGUGGGAACGUGCCUUCCGGUUCGGAAUAACCCUGGGAAACUAGGGCUAAUACCGGAUACGCCCUUAUGGGGAAAGGUUUACUGCCGGAAGAUCGGCCCGCGUCUGAUUAGCUAGUUGGUGGGGUAACGGCCUACCAAGGCGACGAUCAGUAGCUGGUCUGAGAGGAUGAUCAGCCACACUGGGACUGAGACACGGCCCAGACUCCUACGGGAGGCAGCAGUGGGGAAUAUUGGACAAUGGGCGAAAGCCUGAUCCAGCCAUGCCGCGUGAGAGAUGAAGGCCUUAGGGGUGUAAAGCUCUUUUAUCCGGGACGAUAAUGACGGCACCGGAGGAAUAAGCCCCGGCUAACUUCG
This 431-nucleotide ribosomal RNA is filed under the name uncultured bacterium. RNAcentral describes it as "partial 16S ribosomal RNA". It matches the Rfam family "Bacterial small subunit ribosomal RNA", at positions 29 to 505 of the family's 1533-position model. The record is from RNAcentral.